GACGAACGCUGGCGGCGUGCUUAACACAUGCAAGUCGAACGGGCCUUGUCCCCUUUUUUUUGUGGGUGGGGUGAGUGGGGAGGGGGUGAGUAACACGGGAGUAACCUGCCCCUCACUUGGGUAUAACCGCUAGAAAGGGGGGCAAAUACGGGGUGUUCUGGCCUGCUCGCGUGGGUGGGUGUGGAAAGAUUCUGCCGGUUUUUGUUGGUGUGGUGGGGGAUGGGCUCGCGGCAGGUGAGGUUGUGGGUUGGGUGAUGGCCCGACAAUGCCUUGACGGGGAGCCGGCCUGAGGGGGUGGGCGGUCACAGUGGGACUGACACACGGCACAGUCUCAUAGGGGAGGCAGCAGGGGGGAAUACUGCACAAUGGGCGAAAGCCUGAUGGAGCGACGCCGCGUGAGGGAUGGAGGUCUUCGUGUUGUGAACCUCUUUUGCCAGUGAAGAAGGUGCUGCUGUUUGUGGUGGGGUUGACGGUAGCCGGGUUCAUGAAGCGCCGGCUAACUACGUG
Molecule: ribosomal RNA, 507 nt
Filed under: uncultured bacterium
Lineage: Bacteria
Description: partial 16S ribosomal RNA
Rfam family: Bacterial small subunit ribosomal RNA
Source: RNAcentral